Molecule: ribosomal RNA, 449 nt
Filed under: uncultured Anoxybacillus sp.
Lineage: Bacteria; Bacillati; Bacillota; Bacilli; Caryophanales; Anoxybacillaceae
Description: bacterial SSU rRNA
Rfam family: Bacterial small subunit ribosomal RNA
Source: RNAcentral
UGGAGCAUGUGGUUAAUUCGAAGCAACGCGAAGAACCUUACCAGGUCUUGACAUCCCUGACAACCCGAGAGAUCGGGCGUUCCCCCUUCGGGGGACAGGGUGACAGGUGGUGCAUGGUUGUCGUCAGCUCGUGUCGUGAGAUGUUGGGUUAAGUCCCGCAACGAGCGCAACCCUCGACCUUAGUUGCCAGCAUUCAGUUGGGCACUCUAAGGUGACUGCCGGCUAAAAGUCGGAGGAAGGUGGGGAUGACGUCAAAUCAUCAUGCCCCUUAUGACCUGGGCUACACACGUGCUACAAUGGGCGGUACAAAGGGUCGCGAACCCGCGAGGGGGAGCCAAUCCCAAAAAGCCGCUCUCAGUUCGGAUUGCAGGCUGCAACUCGCCUGCAUGAAGCCGGAAUCGCUAGUAAUCGCGGAUCAGCAUGCCGCGGUGAAUACGUUCCCGGGCCUU